GACGAACGCUGGCGGCGUGCUUAACACAUGCAAGUCGAACGGAAAGGCCCAGCUUGCUGGGUACUCGAGUGGCGAACGGGUGAGUAACACGUGGGUGAUCUGCCCUGCACUCUGGGAUAAGCCUGGGAAACUGGGUCUAAUACCGGAUAUGACCAACUGUCGCAUGGUGGUUGGUGGAAAGCUUUUGCGGUGUGGGAUGGGCCCGCGGCCUAUCAGCUUGUUGGUGGGGUAAUGGCCUACCAAGGCGACGACGGGUAGCCGACCUGAGAGGGUGAUCGGCCACACUGGGACUGAGACACGGCCCAGACUCCUACGGGAGGCAGCAGUGGGGAAUAUUGCACAAUGGGCGCAAGCCUGAUGCAGCGACGCCGCGUGAGGGAUGACGGCCUGGUGUAACGUCUUCUACCACGGACGAAGACGUGAGUGACGGUACC
Molecule: ribosomal RNA, 434 nt
Filed under: uncultured bacterium
Lineage: Bacteria
Description: bacterial SSU rRNA
Rfam family: Bacterial small subunit ribosomal RNA
Source: RNAcentral